Molecule: ribosomal RNA, 253 nt
Filed under: uncultured bacterium
Lineage: Bacteria
Description: partial 16S ribosomal RNA
Rfam family: Bacterial small subunit ribosomal RNA
Source: RNAcentral
UACGAAGGGGGCUAACGUUGUUCGGAAUCACUGGGCGUAAAGCGCACGCAGGCGGAUCGAUAAGUCGGGGGUGAAAGCCCGGGGCUCAACCUCGGAAUUGCCUUCGAUACUGUCGGUCUCGAGUCCGGGAGAGGUGAGUGGAAUUCCUAGGGUAGAGGUGAAAUUCGUAGAUAUUAGGAAGAACACCAGUGGCGAAGGCGGCUUACUGGCCCGGUACUGACGCUCAGGUGCGAAUGCGUGGGGAGCAAACAGG